AGCAGGAGGGGUGGAGAUGACUGGAAGUCUGAGAGGUCCUGAGAGACCUCUUUGCAGGGCACUGCCUGCCCCUCUGGCCACUGCUGGUGGCAGAGGAAGAAGCGAAGGGCUAUUGAUCCACCCUUUCCACCCAAGGAGGUCACAGCACAUUCAAGGCCUUCUUUUUAAAAAUGUAUUAACCUGACCGUAAGCAAGCCCCAGUUUAAAAAUAAAUAAAAAUAAGGCAAGAAGCAAAACAAGUGGCAGUGGAGCAAAACCUUUGGAGAACUGAAAGGGCCUUUCAGGAGGGUCCUUUUCAAAGUACCUUCACACUCUAGACUAUCUUGUCAAGCCUGGAUUCUAAAGCCCCCGGUAGGUCCAUUCCCCUUUCCUGUGCCCUGGGCUGCCUGUAUCUCUUCUGGCUCAGUCUGUGCAGGGAGUCUACCUAUAUCCAGAGGGGCCUCACAGAGCUUGGUGACAGUCCAUUUGACAGCCUGUGUUGCCAACCCUGAUUUGGGCAGUUUGGCCUCCCUCUUACCCUGCAGCCACAUUGGCCUUCUCUUGGUUUCUCAGAAGUACAGGUACAAGCCAUUGCACAUGCUGUUCCCCCUGCCUGGAAGGCCCUUCACUUCCUUUUCUCCUGUCCUCUAGUUUAGCACCUGCUCUUGGGGAACCUGUCCGCUCCCCUGGCAGGGUCAGGCCUUGUGUUACUGUGUUGCCCCUGUGGCUCCCAGAAUUUCUCUUUUGUGACAGUUUGUUUGGCAGCACUGGGUUUUGAACUCAGGGCCUAAUGCUUGCUAGGCAGGCACUCUACCACUUGAGCCACCCCACCAGCCUUUCUUUUGUGACUGUUACCACAGGCAUAAUAAAGGAAUUAACUUGGCAUUUUAUAGCAUGUAACAUUUAAACUGGGGGAAAGUUUGUCCUCUCCUCUGUCCUGUGUGCCUUUGCCUUGGCUGCUGUUAGCCACAUAUCCUCUGCUCAGCCCAGCAACCACUGUUCCAGGAACUUGCAGGGAUGGCCACCUAGGGUCUUUUUGGUCUAUAGGUGCAGUUUGGGUGAAGGUGGAGGGAAUGACUUUGUGAUAAAAAUUUACUGUGAUUUCUUAAUGUUCCUUGAGGUGUGGGCAUACCAUGAGGUUAGGAUUUGGUUUCAUAGUGGUGGUGUCCCUUGUCCACCAAAAGGGAAAACUUCUGCCAAUAACUCGGUAGGCUAGGGUGCUUAGCACCUCCCAGAGCAGGUGCCUGCCUCAAAGGAGGCUCCAUCAGCUUGUUCCCUGUUUGGGUGGAAAGACAUGAAGCCUAGAGAACAGAAAGGACUUAGCCAAGGCCACAGAGCAGAGCCUUUGGCAGUCUUUUUUUGGCCCCUGUUUCACUGUGGAAAGAUGACUGGUCAGGUGGCAGGUACAGCCGGCAUCCUCCCUGGCAUUGUUACAUCCACUUGCAUAGCAGCACCUAUUCAGAGAGGAGGGAAUGGAGGCCCCGGACUUAGGUUGUUGCCUCAGAGCACAGCAGAUGUGGCAUUGGAACUCAUAUCUUUCUGACUCCAUAGCCUGGUUCUGCCUACCUCCCAGAAGAGAUACAAGCAGCUCAGGGUACAGGAAAGGUGAAUGGACCUACCGGAGGCUUUAGAAUCCAGGCCUUGUUUCUUGAUGGGGACUUUGCUCUCUGUUAGCUGGUAGAGUCAUAGCCACUUGUAGGAGCCUCCAUUGGCUUCAUCUGUUUGGGCUGGGGUUCCCAGAGACCACCCUUCUUCCCCAUAUGCUUUCAUCUCCUUCUGCUUCUUCUCUUCCUCCCCCUAAAAGGGCGUCAGGUCUUCCUCUGUCCCCUUACCCUUGCCAGUUCCCUCCAAAGCUACUUGGGAUCCCGGAAAGGUACUGAGGGUGAUGAAGCAAAAUUUGCACUGUUCUGCGAGUAACUUUCCAUCAUUUGAAGCUAAAAAUAAAGUGUGUGCUUGCCCCUCCUUGCUGUGCAUGGGUUUUCUUUUGGGGCUUUUGUGGGAGCCACUUGCCUCCAUUCCUGCUUCCCCUUAGCAGGAUCAGGGGUGGGUUUUAUGAUCUCCCUCCCUGGAGAGCAGAACCUUGGGACCUCUGUAAGGAGGCACCUCUGGUCCUCUGUGGCAGUGAGUGGCACUGUGGUGGCUUUGCCACAUGUGGGGAUGCCAACUGGAGCUAAAAACAGACUGGUCACCUUUAGAGCACUUUCUUUGUGCAGGCUGUUUCUUUUUCAUAUCUAGGAUGCACAGAGGCAAGGGAGAUAAAAUUAGUUUGUUCAAUUAAUUUUGUAAAUAUUGACUAAGCAGAAGUUUUACGCCAAGUCACAUGACAGGGACCCAAGAGCUUACCCAAAAACAACAUGACACAGUGCCUUCUUGAAGGUGUUUAUCCUUGAGGUAGAGAAAGAAGGAUGUGUUAAGACAGUACAGAGUGCAGAGCCAUAGGGUCCUGCUUCUACCCAACCUUUCUUCCAGAAUUAGCUGGUGAAGUCAAACCAUGCCAUAUCCCUUUCUUCUCUCUUAAGCCACUGAGGUCUCCCCUGCAAUUUUUUGGUGUGCUUAUUAUGUGCGAGACUGGUGUAAUAUUUUCCUAGCAUUCAUUUUAUAAGCUGUUCUUGAGCCUGUGAAGUAACUGUUCUUGCUCUUGUUUUCCAGCUGAUGAAACUGAGGCCCCAAAAGGUUAAUUGACUUACUCAAAGCCCCCUGGCUGAAAUGUUGCCAUCUGGGUUCAGAUCCAAGCAGGGUCUUGCUAUAUUGCCCAGGUUGGCCUCAAACUCCUGGGCUCCGUGGUCCUUCUAACUCAGUGUCUGAGGUAGCUGGGGCUACAGGUGCAUGCCACCGUGCCUGGCUCGAACCAUGAUCUCUUUAUCUAGAGCUGGCAGAGAAAGAAGACACUUUAAAGCAUUCUGCAAAUCGCAGUGCUGCAUGAAAUGAAAGACGUGAAAAGGGGUGUGUGUUUAGAAGACUAGCUUAUAACGUGGACCUCAGGCCUCCCAUGUGGGGAUAUCUUGCACCCUCGUCAUGAUCAGGUUUCAGAUACAUUUUUACUUUGGCAUACAACUUUUUCCAGGGAUUUGCGGAGUGAAGUCCAAUAAGGUAUUGUCCCUCAAAGAUUUUAUAGUCCAGCUGGGGGAAUGGAAGAAUAAUACACUUUCUGUUGACCAAGUGCAAACCAGGUGUGGGGCCAUCACAGGAGGGUCCCCAAGCCUGGGUCACGCAGGGUGGUCAGAGGUCACUUCCUGGAUUAGGUGCUGAGUAGUAGGAGUUGAAUUACAGAAUUGGAGGAUAAGAGGUUCCCAGUACAUACUUUUGGGUUAUUUGCUGUUGAGCAUUGCUGGUAUACAUACAUGAUGUUAUAGAUGAUUAUAGUUAUUACAUCUUAUUUCAUUAUUUAGUUGCUGUCGUAGGAUUUUUAAUCUUAUACCCAUAGAGUUCACCGUCUUUGAAAAGUCUGAGAUAAAAAGCAAGAAAACAAAACAAACCCCAUGCUUUGUGCCAGCUCAGCUUCUUCCUUGGGAGGGACCAGACAGAGUGGGUUAUCACAAAGCAGGGGUUAAAGAAACCAGUUUCCCACCUCAGGGUCCUGUCCCUGCUUGUGCACUGUGCUGCCCGAGUGUGAGGCUGGGUGAGCACGAGGCCUGCCCACAUGGCCUGCAGAACUGUGGAGGCAGACGGGCUGGUGGGCAGAUCCCCUGUUAAGGUCAAGAGUGGACUCAAACUCUUACAGAGUGAAAGCACAGGAGGCAGCACAAUGUGUGCAUGCU
This is a non-coding RNA of Castor canadensis (American beaver), 3737 nucleotides long. NCBI's taxonomy places the organism in Eukaryota, Metazoa, Chordata, Mammalia, Rodentia, Castoridae. The record is from RefSeq and is a predicted model, not a curated record.